This is a non-coding RNA of Drosophila virilis, 449 nucleotides long. NCBI's taxonomy places the organism in Eukaryota, Metazoa, Arthropoda, Insecta, Diptera, Drosophilidae. The record is from RefSeq and is a predicted model, not a curated record.
AGCCUGCUUUACUACAAAUGAAACAAGAUGUUCGCAUUGAUCAAGGAGUUUCUUCAAUGAGGCUCCAAUCCGCUGGACAAAGAGAUUCCAGUUAGUGUAUCUUUGACGCCAGGAAGUGCCGUGAUGCAAGUCCUACUUCAAAUCUGCAUCGAGUUGCCGGAUAUUCAUUGCACUGUUGAUCUUCGCUUUUAUGGACAAAUCCAAAGCUUUGAGUUUUGACUGCUUUUGCUGUCGAGAUGCAGCAACCGAAUCGAAGUCUUCAAAAGGUGACUUUCUGCUUUCAGUGGUUGCUGUUUACGUCCAGAGAAACUUCACAGAGGUAAAUUGCAGCACUUAAUUGCUUUCUAGUUAAAUGCUUGAAUAUGAUGAUUCUCCCAAUAGGGACCUCAGCUGAGUGAAUAAAAGCCAUGCUGUAUUAACUUUCUUCUUUCCCCAACUGAAUGCUCUGA